AUUGAACGCUGGCGGCAGGCCUAACACAUGCAAGUCGAGCGGAUGAAGGGAGCUUGCUCCUGGAUUCAGCGGCGGACGGGUGAGUAAUGCCUAGGAAUCUGCCUGGUAGUGGGGGAUAACGUCCGGAAACGGGCGCUAAUACCGCAUACGUCCUGAGGGAGAAAGUGGGUGAUCUUCGGACCGCACGCUAUCAUAUGAACCUAGGUCGGGUUAGGUAGUUGGUGGGGUAAAGGCCUACCAAGGCGACGAUCCGUAACUGGUCUGAGAGGAUGAUCAGUCACACUGGAACUGAGACACGGUCCAGGACUCUACGGGAGGCAGGAGUGGGGAAUAUUGGACCAGGGGCGAAAGCCUGAUACAGGCCUGACGCGUGUGACGAAGGUCUUCGGAUUGUAAAGCACUUUAAGUGGGGAGGAAGCGCAGUAAGUUGAUACCUUGCUGUUUUGACGUUACCAACAGAAUAAGCACCGGCUAACUUCGUG
Molecule: ribosomal RNA, 482 nt
Filed under: uncultured bacterium
Lineage: Bacteria
Description: partial 16S ribosomal RNA
Rfam family: Bacterial small subunit ribosomal RNA
Source: RNAcentral